AUUGAACGCUGGCGGCAUGCCUAACACAUGCAAGUCGAACGGCAGCACGUUUUAGUUUACUAGAAUGGUGGCGAGUGGCGCACGGGUGAGUAAUGCGUAGGAAUAUACCUUGAAGUGGGGGAUAACUUGGGGAAACUCAAGCUAAUACCCCAUGAGCUCUAAGGAGGAAAGCUGGGGACCUGAGAGGUCCUGGUGCUUUAAGAAUAGCUUACGUCCGAUUAGCUAGUUGGUGGGGUAAGGCUUACCAAGGCGACGAUCGGUAGCUGGUCUGAGAGGAUGAUCAGCCACACUGGGACUGAGACACGGCCCAGACUCCUACGGGAGGCAGCAGUGGGGAAUAUUGGACAAUGGGGGCAACCCUGAUCCAGCGAUGCCGCGUGUGUGAAGAAGGCCUGCGGGUUGUAAAGCACUUUCAGUGGGGAGGAGAGGUGACAGGUUAAGAGCUAGUUGCUGAGACGUUACCCACAGAAGAAGCACCGGCUAACUCCGUGCCAGCAGCCGCAGUAA
This 507-nucleotide ribosomal RNA is filed under the name uncultured bacterium. Its description in RNAcentral is "partial 16S ribosomal RNA". It matches the Rfam family "Bacterial small subunit ribosomal RNA", at positions 30 to 523 of the family's 1533-position model. The record is from RNAcentral.